Molecule: ribosomal RNA, 496 nt
Filed under: uncultured archaeon
Lineage: Archaea
Description: bacterial SSU rRNA
Rfam family: Archaeal small subunit ribosomal RNA
Source: RNAcentral
CUAUCCCGAGUGCCAUCCGCUGAGGAGGCUUUUACCGUAUAAAUAGCUGGGAGAAUAAGGAGAGGGCAAGUCUGGUGUCAGCCGCCGCGGUAAUACCAGCUCUCCGAGUAGUGUGGAUGUUUAUUGGGCCUAAAGCAUCCGUAGCUUGCUAGAUAAGUCCCCUGUUAAAUCCACCGAUUCAAUCGAUGGAUUGCGGGGGAUACUGUUUGGCUAGGGGACGGGAGAGGUCGACGGUAUUUCCGGGGUAGGGGUGAAAUCCUAUAAUCCCGGGAAGACCACCAGUGGCGAAGGCUGUCGACUAGAACGCGCCCGACGGUGAGGGAUGAAAGCUGGGGGAGCGAACCGGAUUAGAUACCCGGGUAGUCCCAGCUGUAAACGAUGCAGGCUAGGUGUUUGGGCGGCCACGAGCCGCCCUAGUGCCGCAAAGAAGUUGUUAAGCCUGCCGCCUGGGGAGUACGGCCGCAAGGCUGAAACUUAAAGGAAUUGGCGGGGGAGC